AACAUUCCUUGUAUAUUGUGGAUGACGGAUGUGGAGGGAGACUAACUGCCUUUAAGAAAGGGUUCCGACUGCAUAUUUCUCUGUAGCAGUGGGUAAUUCCCCCCCCCUCUCUUGUGUUGAUCUAAUAAUCCUCAGUGCUUGUGUGUUUACUCAGUGUUGAUAGUAGUGCCUUGCGUUGGAGAUCGCUGGGAAAGACGGAGAGACUCCGGUGUACGAUAUAUACGCCUGCUGUGGUCUGCCCCCUGCCUUCGUCCAUCUGACACGCCCCGCCAGGACUCUGAGCCCGAAACGGGAAUACACCACGGAUCUUCUUUCACUGAGUGUGUGGAGUGCGGUGAGUGCUGCUAUAUUGAAGUGUACACACGAGAAGAAUUGUAGUGCCUUUGUGGAGUGUGGUGUUUGUCCGUGGCUGUGUCUCCGGUCGUAGGAAGAGGCCUGACAGAGAGGAGCAGUGUAUCGGUGGCAACCAUAGUCUUUACCUUAAGUAAGCUGGAGCUUGGACGUGUUGGAGGCGCCUCUGGAGGAGGUUGGAUGACGUCGCCCACACAGCGAUCUCUCGAAGGACAACAGCCGAUCCUCCCCCGUGUGCCCCCUUGCCAAGGUGGGUGGGAAGCCCAGUAUUGUUUGCAGUCUCACCUGUAAGGCCCACCAGCCGUCAGUCAUCGACCAAACCCGUAUCUGCUUGGAAUACCGACCUCUGAAUAUCUUCAGUGAACCCCUGCACGCUAACAGCCCAGCCCUGUGAAUACCCACCUGUGUAUUGAACACUGUACUUACCUGAGAGUUAGAACCCCUGCACGCUAACAGCCCAGCGAAUACCCACCUGUGUAUUGAAAUCUGUACUUACCUGGGAGCUAGAACCCCUGCACGCUAACAGCCCAGCCCUGCGAAUACCCACCUGUGUAUUGAACUCUGUACUUACCUGGGAGCUAGAACCCCUGCACACUAACAGCCCAGCCCUGCGAAUACCCACCUGCGUAUUGGACUCUCUACUUACCUGAGAGCUAGAACCCCUGCACGCUAACAGCCCAGCCCUGUGAAUACCCACCUGUGUAUUGAAUUCUGUACUUACCUGUGAGCUAGAACCCCUGCACACUAACAGCCCAGCCCUGUGAAUACUCACCUGUGUAUUGAACUCUGUA
Cyprinus carpio (common carp) is the source of this 1142-nucleotide long non-coding RNA. RefSeq lists it as uncharacterized. The transcript is spliced from 3 exons. The record is from RefSeq and is a predicted model, not a curated record. NCBI's taxonomy places the organism in Eukaryota, Metazoa, Chordata, Actinopteri, Cypriniformes, Cyprinidae.